GGAUGAUGCAAACAUAUAAGAAUGCAUGUAGUUUUGUGAACAAUUUAAGAAUUACAUAAAGCAUAGGGGUAUAUUUCUAUCCCCUAUCGGACCCUAUGUUAAUUUACACCUUAUCGAACCUAUUCCACUUCUCUCGAAUGUAAGAAACAAGUCAUCAAUACUCACACAAUCAUUGGCCACUAAUUGCGGAAGAAAAUUAAUGCAUGUAAAUCAAUCAAAAUAUCCAACGAAUCUUUAUAUCAAGUUCAUGAAAUAUAGAAUUAAAAUAACAAACAACGGUUCAUCGAUCACCUAGUAAUUAAAACCCUAGCCUAGAAGAUUCAUAAUUACAGAAAACAAAACGAAAUUAAUGACUAGAAGGAAUAACACCCGUAUGAAAGUUCUUGAAAUCUGAAUUCUUGAACAAAACCUUGAAAACCCCUUUGAAUCCUUGUGAAAUCGGCUUCAAGUUUAUGUUCCUUGUCUCCAAAAGUUGUAUUCUUCUUCUCCCUGGACGUUCUGCCCUUUUUCUGAUUAAUUUUGGCUUUUAUAUCAUGUCCCCACGGAGCCCCGAAAGAGUUUCAAUUAAAAACGGGAUUUCAGAAUUUUUUAUCGACCUUAAAGUCAUGCAGCCACAUGGUGUUAAACCAUGCGGUCGCAUGGUUCAAUUUUUCAGCUCAUUUGGAUCCCUGCAAUAACCAUGCGGCCGCAUGGUUAUAAAAUUUUUCCUCCGGACAGCUUUCAGUAUUUUGGUCAUAACUUUCUCUCCUGAUCUCCGAUUGAGGUGAUUCAAAGUGCAUUAGGAAGAAAACUCAAAGAUGUACACUUUUGAUAGAAAUAGGCUUCCUCAAAUUCUGAUGUUUACUAUGCCAAAAAUGGAUCUCAAGUAGAAACUCAAAAUCACGAGCAUAACUUUUUCGCCUGAAAUUUGAUACUUGAUAAUACUUCGACCAUAUUUCACCUCUUAACUCCUUUCCUCAUCCGAUUGAACUUUAACACUCUUGAAUCUUCAUUUCAUUUCUCGUCUCAUCUAUGGAUUAUUUGCAACUUGGUCCUCGAUCUAUCGCUUUGUUCCGUUUUGGUCCUUUUUCGGCUCUUUUCUUCUGAAUUCCAUCUUUUCCAUAGAAACACCUACAUAACAUGAAUUUAAAAAGAUUAUGUCAUAAUUCGACUAUUUUGUCCAUGUUUAAGUCAUGUUAGUGAGCUAAAUAAGUGUGUGAAAACACACUUAUCAAUAGCUCACAUGAAUAUCUUUAAUAUGCAAAUAAUAAUAAUAAUCUCAAAUAGUGGUAGGGCCCAUCACAAGAUACCAAGCAUAAUAUCAAUAUCCAGUCUUUGGACAGAGAUAUUGACUUGUAAGCGGUACUCUUGGCGUAGUGACCAAACAUUGACGAUAAAAUAACGUGUCAAUCAAUAAACCUUUCUUUGGACCGAUUUAUUGAUCACACAUUAAACCAAAUAAUCGUCACACGUUUAUCACCACAGGUGCACGUGUAUUCGGCUAAAUAUUGACCUUCCUUUGGGCCGACCAAUAUUCUCAUGAAUAACACGUGCACAAACACUUUUUAACAUUUUAAGUUAGUCAAUUUUCACAAGAGAUGUUGCUUUGGCAACAUGUUGCUUCAAUUAACUAACUUUCGAAUAUUAUAUCUCUUAAAAG
This 1639-nucleotide long non-coding RNA is filed under the name Olea europaea subsp. europaea. Lineage: Eukaryota; Viridiplantae; Streptophyta; Magnoliopsida; Lamiales; Oleaceae. The record is from RNAcentral.